This 588-nucleotide ribosomal RNA is filed under the name uncultured bacterium. RNAcentral's name for it is "bacterial SSU rRNA". It matches the Rfam family "Bacterial small subunit ribosomal RNA", at positions 338 to 916 of the family's 1533-position model. The record is from RNAcentral.
CCUACGGGAGGCAGCAGUGGGGAAUAUUGCGCAAUGGGGGCAACCCUGACGCAGCGAUGCCGUGUGAGCGAUGAAUGUCUUCGGAUUGUAAAGCUCUGUCAGAUGGGAAGAAAGGUGCAGAUCUUAACAGGGUAUGCAUUUGACGGUACCAUCAAAGGAAGCCCCGGCUAACUCCGUGCCAGCAGCCGCGGUAAUACGGAGGGGGCGAGCGUUGUUCGGAAUCACUGGGCGUAAAGGGCACGUAGGUGGCUCAAUAAGUCAGGCGUGAAAUCCCAUGGCUCAACUGUGGAAUUGCGCUUGAUACUGUCGAGCUUGAGUACAGGAGAGGAGAGUGGAAUUCCUAGUGUAGCGGUGAAAUGCGCAGAUAUUAGGAGGAACACCAGUGGCGAAGGCGACUCUCUGGUCUGAUACUGACACUGAUGUGCGAAAGCGUGGGGAGCAAACGGGAUUAGAUACCCCGGUAGUCCACGCUGUAAACGAUGGGUACUAGGUGUAGGAGGUAACUAAACCUUCUGUGCCGAAGCUAACGCAUUAAGUACCCCGCCUGGGGAGUACGGUCGCAAGACUGAAACUCAAAGGAAUUGACGG